This 657-nucleotide ribosomal RNA is filed under the name Triticum aestivum (bread wheat). Its description in RNAcentral is "partial small subunit ribosomal RNA". The record is from RNAcentral. Lineage: Eukaryota; Viridiplantae; Streptophyta; Magnoliopsida; Poales; Poaceae.
AUGAAAUGGCAGUCGUUCCUCUCCACUUUUGUGCUUAACAAGAUGUGUAAGAUCAUAACUAGUGGGGUGAGGACUAACAAGGGCUUCAAGGAGGUGCACUUGAGCCUUGUUGCAAAGCAGGUGUUCGACUUUUGUGGACAGAAGGUCACCUCGACCCAGGCGUACAACCACCUGAGAAAGUGGAGAGCUCGAUGGAUCCAAGUGUCCAAGCUCAGAGACCUUAGCAGUGCUUCAUGGGAUGAGGACACCUGCUCGAUCCUUCUGGAGGCAGAGCACUAUCAAGGCCACGUCGCGGCUCACCCCAAGGACGAUGAGUUUCUCGACACCCCUAUCCAGAACUACCACCAGAUGCAGCAGAUCUUCUCCUUCGGGCUGGCAACCGGCAAGCAUGACAUGGGCUCUGGUCUGCCGCUGGGCUCGCCGAUGCUGGAGUAUCCAGACACCCAGGAGUCAGACACCAUCAACGUUGAUGCUCCUGAGAAGGAUGCUGAGCACGUUCCUGUGCUUGAUAGGAAGAGGAAGCGGGCAGGCUUCAUGGAGGAGGAGUUGAGCGUCUUCAGCAGCAUGACUGAGGCAGUGAAGGAGGUGGCCACCGUCAUCAGGGAGAGCAAGAGUGUGGACGUCCACCCUAAGCUCUACAACGCCGUCAUGGAUUAG